CAUUUAUUUUCGUGGGUACCAAUUUUCGUUGACUGAGGAAAACUUACAUGUUCGUGGAUAUUUGAUUUCGUGGUUUUGCCGAAGUAUGCAUACAAGCUUAUGGAAAAUUUGGUAUUCGUUGAACAUUUAAUUUCGUGGUUCACCUGUUCCCACGAAAUCCACGAAAAUUGGUAUCCAACGAAUAAUAAUGAAUCCACAGUA
This 201-nucleotide long non-coding RNA is filed under the name Mytilus galloprovincialis (Mediterranean mussel). Lineage: Eukaryota; Metazoa; Mollusca; Bivalvia; Mytilida; Mytilidae. The record is from RNAcentral.